RNAcentral lists this microRNA (23 nucleotides) under Blattella germanica (German cockroach). RNAcentral describes it as "Bge-Mir-252-P2-v2_3p* (star (passenger))". The record is from RNAcentral. Lineage: Eukaryota; Metazoa; Arthropoda; Insecta; Blattodea; Blattellidae.
CUCCUGCUGCUCAAGUGCUUAUC